This 501-nucleotide ribosomal RNA is filed under the name uncultured Alphaproteobacteria bacterium. RNAcentral describes it as "bacterial SSU rRNA". It matches the Rfam family "Bacterial small subunit ribosomal RNA", at positions 68 to 615 of the family's 1533-position model. The record is from RNAcentral. Lineage: Bacteria; Pseudomonadati; Pseudomonadota; Alphaproteobacteria.
GAGACCUUCGGGUCUAGUGGCGCACGGGUGCGUAACGCGUGGGAAUCUGCCCUGGGGUGCGGAAUAACUCAGAGAAAUUUGAGCUAAUACCGCAUAAUGUCUUCGGACCAAAGAUUUAUCGCCCUGGGAUGAGCCCGCGUUGGAUUAGCUAGUUGGUGGGGUAAUGGCCUACCAAGGCGACGAUCCAUAGCUGGUCUGAGAGGAUGAUCAGCCACACUGGGACUGAGACACGGCCCAGACUCCUACGGGAGGCAGCAGUGGGGAAUAUUGGACAAUGGGGGAAACCCUGAUCCAGCAAUGCCGCGUGAGUGAUGAAGGCCCUAGGGUUGUAAAGCUCUUUUACCAGGGAUGAUAAUGACAGUACCUGGAGAAUAAGCUCCGGCUAACUCCGUGCCAGCAGCCGCGGUAAUACGGAGGGAGCUAGCGUUGUUCGGAAUUACUGGGCGUAAAGCGCGCGUAGGCGGCAUGCCAAGUCAGGGGUGAAAUCCCGGGGCUUAACCC